Non-coding RNA from Picea glauca (white spruce), 118 nucleotides. Lineage: Eukaryota; Viridiplantae; Streptophyta; Pinopsida; Pinales; Pinaceae. The record is from Rfam.
AUGUACAUUCCUAUAGCAUUAAUGGAUCGGAUCCCAUAAAAACUCUAUAGUUAAGCACACUUGGACUAGAGUAGUACUAGGAUGGGUGACCUCUCGGGAAGUCCUAGUGUUUUACAUU